This is a long non-coding RNA of Mauremys mutica (yellowpond turtle), 596 nucleotides long. RefSeq lists it as uncharacterized. The transcript is spliced from 6 exons. Lineage: Eukaryota; Metazoa; Chordata; Testudines; Geoemydidae. The record is from RefSeq and is a predicted model, not a curated record.
AGGACUCCUACUCAUUGACUGUUCUAGGCCCUGUAUGAUCACAGAACAAAAAGCAUAAGACAAGAAAGAACAGAUGGAUACACACAGCAUACUGUGUGCACUCAGAAGAUGUGGAACCUCCCUGAAGUGCAGAUGAGCUGCACAAUUUUCCAUGGCAUCAUGAGGAUGUGUGACAUAAGGCCAUGCAGGUACUGCUGUUCUAUCCAGAGUGCACUGAAGGAGCCUGAUGAAGGUUAAUAAUUAUAGCCCAGUGAUUGAUUUCGCCUUUCCAGUUUACUCAUUCCUCAUAAAGAACUGCACAUUGCCUUUGGGAAGAUGUGCCAUAUCUCAGGUUGAUACCAUAAGUACAAACAGGAUUCUAGGUGAGGUCUAAUUCCUCCAGUCAUGCUACCUACUAUUUCAAGUUGACGUUUCUUCCAUAUUACUUAAUCAGAUCUGCCUGUGCAUAUGUGUAUAUGUAUAAGAGCAUGCUUCCAGAUUUAAAGACACCAUUUGAAGCAAGUACAGCAACGUUUGUUCCUAGGAAGAUCCCUGUUCAUAACACAGUAAUGCUUACAGAGGAGCAAUGCAUAGUGAUCAAAAAUCAUAAAUCAGAG